Molecule: ribosomal RNA, 460 nt
Filed under: uncultured bacterium
Lineage: Bacteria
Description: partial 16S ribosomal RNA
Rfam family: Bacterial small subunit ribosomal RNA
Source: RNAcentral
CCUACGGGUGGCAGCAGUGAGGAAUUUUGGUCAAUGGACAGAAGUCUGAACCAGCAACGCCGCGUGCAGGAAGCCGGCUCCAUGAGGUGUAAAUCGCUCUUGUACAAGGGUAAACCUGAAUACGUGUAUUCAGCUGAAAGUACUGUACGAAUAAGGAUAGGCUAAUUCUGCGCCAGCAGCCGCGGUAAUACGGAGGAUUCAAGCGUUAUCCGGAUUUAUUGGGAUUAAAGGGUGCGUAGGCGGAUUGAUAAGUUAGAGGUGAAAUGUACAGGCUUAACUUGGGAACUGCCUCUAAUACUGGUGAUCUAGAAAGUGGAUGCGGUAAGCGGAAUGUAUGGUGUAGCGGUGAAAUGCUUAGAGAUCAUACAGAACACCGAUUGCGAAAGCAGCUUACCAAUCUAUAUCUGACGUUGAGGCACGAAAGCGUGGGGAGCAAACGGGAUUAGAUACCCGUGUAGUC